This is a long non-coding RNA of Salvia splendens (bonfire salvia), 5283 nucleotides long. RefSeq lists it as uncharacterized. The transcript has 2 exons. Lineage: Eukaryota; Viridiplantae; Streptophyta; Magnoliopsida; Lamiales; Lamiaceae. The record is from RefSeq and is a predicted model, not a curated record.
UUCAUUUUUCAGAAAAAAUAUUUCAUACUUCAAAACAUUUGCUUUAUAUCCACACUGUAGUGCUGAAUAUUAAAAGAAAUGCCACCUUGUGUGCUUAUCUUCACUUAAAUUCCUCGUUAGGCCUCACUUGCCCUGGACUGUUUUCUCCCUUGAAAAAUAGUGUAACACGCUAAUUAGUACUUGAACUGUCUUUCUGAAAAGAAUGCAUGCAUCCUAUAGGAUAGCAUCUAUCUCUUAGUCUCGGCUUAUAGGAUUUCUCUUUAAAUCCUAACUCGGCUUUACUGCUCUGCAGUACUUAAUCAUUUUCUUUACUUCCUUUGGGGAAAUUCUAUUUUCUCAAUAAAUAUGGAUUCUUAAAAUCCCUCCCUAAAUUCCUUCUUCUUCGGAUUUUUCUCAAGGCCGCCCAUGGCGUCGCAGGGCGACGCGGUCGACUUUCGCAUCUCCGCUUUAAUAUUUUCCGUCUUCGGAAACUUAGUAAUUUAUUCGGGAAUUAAUGAUUUAAGCUCCAAGCUUAAUUCCUUAAAUUAAUUCCACUCCACAAUAUUAAUUUCCCCAAGUCCACUAAUUUAAUGAAGUAGCCCACUCCAAUAAAUCUCUUGGCCCAAACUAAAUUAGAACUACACAAAUUUAUUCAAAUUUGGCCCAGCUACCAAUUAAUCGGCCCAACUUAUUAAUUACUGGCCCAAUUCCUCAAUGUAAUUAAAGUGGCUCACUUUCAAUAAUUUAAAAUGGGACUAAUUUAUACUCCUUCCGUCGGCUUCCUUUCUCAACUUUUCUUUCCUUCUCUCUUUUUUUUUUUUCUAAAAUCCAAAUUAAGAAUAACAGAAGGCAGCGCCUUCUUCUUCUUCACGCCCCCAUUUCCGUUUCCUCCCCUUUUCCGGCGGUUCUCGCCCCCAAAUUGGACUUCUCCUCAAAAUCCCCAAAUUUUCCAAAUCCCUAAAUUUUCCAAAUCCCUAAAUUGAGGAAUUACAGCAGCGGCACUCUCCUCCGUCGUGGUUCCCGCCGAAAUCGCCGCUCCACGGCGUUGUCGCCGGCUCCGCCUCCUCUGCAGUUCCUCCCCACAGCGAGCUCUCCCUUUGCAACGAUGUGAACGCCGCCGGCGGGCAGCGCUGCUGCGCGCGCCGUCUCCGGCUCUCUCGCCCCCUUCCUCGACGGUCCAUCAGUGCAGAGGAGGCGUCGCCUCCUUCUUUCUUCCCCUAUUCCCCUUUCACCAUUUCGUGAUUUAUUCCGAGCUCUAGUUAUGGCAGCAUUGAUUCAUUGUUGAGUUUUGCCUAAGUUUUCUUUCUCAAGUGGUGAUCUUGUUGGGGAGAGUUUGCUCUAAGUUCGAUUACCACUGGAUGUUUAUUGCUACUAGAAUACUUGUGGUGCUAAUUUCCUCUACUGAUUAUUGAGGCAGAUUCUAAGUCCCCUUGAGUUCUUGUCCUUGGUUACCUACUGUGAUUGUUCUACAUGAUGCAAGAGUGGUGAUGGGGUUGAGGGAAUUACCUUGCUCGGUGCACCCUCUCGGUCUGCCCUCCUCACUGCCGCUGCUCCUCACCGCCGCCCCUUACUCCGCUGCACUCCCUUGCCUUGCGAGAAUUUUGCAGGAAAAGAGUGUGGAGUGGGGAGGGGAGUGACGGUGGUAUUUAUAGGCAAAUUUCCUCAUCCUUGGUGGCAGGUUUUGGGGAGUGUAACUUGCUACUUUGAACUACAUGUUUCUCCUUCUUUUGAGUUUGUUGUUUAGGCUUCCCUGCCUACUUUGGUGAAAUUCUUGUGAAUGACAAAAGGGCUGAUUCCCAGCUCUAAUUUGGGCAUGUACAGUGGCUCAUUCCACUAUGAUCCCUUGUUUGACUCCUUCUUUGGAGUAACUGGAAUGCGUGAUGAAAUGUGGCUGCCUCCCUAGCCAAGAGGGUACUAAGGCUGCACAUUUGGAGCUUGGAGGAGCUGGAUUUUCGAGAGAGAGAAGGAGAAGAGAAAGGAGAAUCUCAUUCAACACCUACUUGCCUUAUUGCUAGGUUUAGCCACUUUGUUAGAGUACUAGGUUCAAAAUAGCUCUUGACCAAGCUCUAGUUAGUCACUAGUUGGUGUUGUCCCUCUCAAGAUGUAGUGUAGGAUAGUUUGUAGUUUGACCUCAUUGCGCGGAAAACGAGGCAUGUAAUAUUUGUAUUUGAUUUUCUCCAAUAAUUUCCAAUAGUCAUUUAUUUCAACAUUGCUAUUGAAAUAAGAAUCUUUGCUGCACUUAAAUUUUCCUUCUCAACAAAUACUUAAUUUGAUCCGACGUCGGGAAUUACAACGAAAAAUUUCACGCCCUCAAAGUGAGAAUUAAUCGAGCUCAUAAUCCGACUUGAUCAUAAAUAAGGGGAUUAAAAAUCCGGGGCGUCACAUUCCACCCUCCUUAAACGAAAUUUCGUCCCGAAAUUUGUACGGCUUUACUCAAACAGCUCCGGGGCGUCACAGACGUAUACUCUUUUGAGCUCUGCCCCUAGGGUAUACUCUCACUCAAGCUACACCACUAGUUACACAUGGUGCUAGUUGUGAAUUUACCAAGUGGCUAACCUCGGGCUAAUCACCAAGCAAUCAUAGUCCGACCAUGGAUUUUUCCAAACAUUCAUCUCACCCAACAUGGGGAGGGAUUCUCUCAAGAAGACACUCUUUAUAUAAACCCAAUCUAUCUAUUACAAAUGAUAUAAAAGACACUAUUUAUGAACGUGGAUGGUGGGAGAUGAAAGGUCACUCAAGCUAGGGUUGGAAUAUGAAAAGGCGCUCAGAAUAAUUCAAAAUCUUGCUUUUUUUAGUCUUCCAGGACACAAAAAGCCCGGUUGGGCGUUUUCAUGCAUCAAAACGUCGGCCCACGCAAACUCUCUAGAGUCUUCGUUACUUGACUGCGCAACUUUCGUAGAAUGACCAUAACUUCCUUACCAGGGCUCCAAUUGAGGCGCGCAAGGUACUGACACGGAACUCUUUCGACGAUGAAGACAAUGGUCAUCUUAGAAGAUUAUUUGCACUUCAACUUAAUAGGUAGACUGAUGUUUGAAACAGUCUAGUUUGGCUCAUUGCAUGCCCUCACUUCUCUUUCUCUCACUUUGGCGCUUCCCAGAGCACUUCGUCCUCUCCUUUUUGAAAGGAUUUGUCCUAAAAUUUGGUUCUUUGAUUCUUCUUUUGGCCAUUGCAAAAAGUACAACAAAACAAGAACUUGGCUUUGAUACCAAAUAAUGAGAAUCUCCAAAAUUAGCCUAAGAAUUGUGCUUGUAAAAACAAAAAUGAGGUAGAACACUAAUACUCUGGAUUUUGCUUGAUUUUAAAGAUGUGACUUGCAUAAUUUUGACCACAUUUUGCCAAGAAAAAUCAUGAUUAUGCUUUAAUCUCUAUUAUGUUAGUAUUUUUUUACCAGUUCGUGAAUGAUGUACAUGUAAAGAGUUUAAUAUUUGGUAAAAAGGGGCGAAAGGCGGAGCUCGGGAUCAAACCUAGUGAAUCGCUAGGAAGCCGCUAUACUCCAUAGCAACUCGCUGGAAAUGUAGCUGCAUGCAAUCCAGUCCUAAGAAAGAGAUGUAAAAAAAAGUAGGAGGGAGAGAGAGGGAAAAGGUAGUGAAAUGAGUGUUCGUGAACUGUGGGUUUAUAUUAUAAAUGAUGUAUAAGAUUAUUAUCUAUUGAAAACUUUAUAUAUUUAGACUUGGUCUAAUUAGGGGACGACUCAAAAUGAUAAAAGUAGUCCAUUUUUGGGAACGGAGGGAGUAGUAUAUAGCAUCUUUCGAAUGUUUGUAUAUUUAAAAACUCUUUAUCCAUUUUUACCAUUUCAAAGAGAAGGAAUAUUUUGUUAGUGUAUUUUAUUUAUGCAUUUAUAAGAUGUUUGAUUUACAUUUAAACACAUAAGUAACAAACAAGUUUAAGUCUGAUGCAUAGUAGACUAGUUGUAAGUGGCAUGUAUAGGUAACUUAGUCAAUUCUUGCAGAAGAAAAAUGAACUUCACAAGGUAUUAGCUACCAAUCGUGAAAGGUUGGGACGCCAGUCCAAAAAUUUCCUUAUUCGAACUAUUUUCUUAUUAUGUUUUAGAUUUUAGAAUACUACGGAGUAUUAAUUUAAGUGAUUAAACAAUUAAUUAUCAGAUAAAUCACUUACAAAGCUAACUGUUUACCCUUCAAACUGAAAAGACAAUUCACCAAUUUAACUCUCAGUAUAAAUCAAUUUUAGGUAGGUUAAAUCAACUAUGAUAUAUGCAAAACUCAAUCUUAUGGCAGAAUCAAAGAACCACACUUGACGGUCAUUUUAGAGAGUACAAUGAUCAAAUCUUAGUUUGUUUUUAGGUCAUUAUAGUAAGCAUGACCUAAAAUGAUCUAAAAUGACAUCCGUAUUAUCAAAUCUGGAUUUUAUAAAAUGACCUAAAACAGACUAAAAGUGUUCUACAAUGACCUAAAAUAAACUAACAAUGGAUUCAACAGUUCGCCACUAGAGAUUAGUUCGACAUUGAUUAUAACCCUCUGCAUACAUUAUUAAAUACUUAUUAGAAAAUAGUAGUGAAGAAUAAUCGAGUGCCAAAAAAUAAAGAUGAUUAUAUGAUGAUAGUGAAGAUGCCAUUUUAGGUGUUAAAAAAAUUAGUGAUUGUGAGUCCAAAGUAUAAAUUCCACAUGGCCCAACCCCAACUUAAAAUAGAAGAAAUAAAGCAUUAGAUUUGGAUUCCGUGACACUUUAUUUUUGCAUAUUUUCAAUCUUUUCAUCACCUAUUUAUUUGCUUCGUAUCAUAUUCAUUAUUCAUAUUCAUCAACUAACCAAUAUUGUUACCAUAUUUACUCACAUCCUAUUUUCCGAUGGCGAUAACAGGCGGCGACACCGCUCGGAGCGUGCCUAGCGGCGGCAAGUACCAGAUGACGGUGGAGGAGUUCAAGGGCUGGCUGAUGAAAUUCGACGCGGACCGAGACGGGCGGAUCAGCCAAAAGGAGCUCCGGCAGGCCAUCCGCAACUGCGGUGGCUGGUUCAGCGGCUGGAAAAGCACCCGAGGCCUCGGUGAAGCCGACGUCGACGGCAGCGGCUUUAUUGAUGAGCAAGAGAUCGAUUUGCUCUUGGAUUUUGCCGAGACUAAUAUGGGAUUCAAGUUUUACUAUUGAUUUCACUUCACUAUAUAUCUCUAUGCAUGCUUCAAAAUAAUUUCUCUCUCUCUCUAUAUAUCAUUAUACUCGGAUUAGUAAUUAGUUGUUUGUGUGCUGUGUUUUAAUUUUAUAAAUAAAUUUGGUUAGUUUGUGGUUGAAGAGUUGUCAAUUGUCAUGCCAAAUUUAUGCUAAUUUUAUAUGAAUACAGAAUUGUCUCUAUUUA